CCUACGGGGGGCAGCAGUGAGGAAUAUUGGUCAAUGGGCGCGAGCCUGAACCAGCCAAGUAGCGUGAAGGAUGACUGCCCUACGGGUUGUAAACUGCUUUUAUAAAAGAAUAAAGUGAGGCACGUGUGCAGUUUUGUAUGUACGUUAUGAAUAAGGAUCGGAUAACUCCGUGCCAGCAGCCGCGGUAAUACGGAGGAUCCGAGCGUUAUACGGCUUUAUUGGGUUUAAAGGGAGCGUAGAUGGCUUGUUAAGUCAGUUGUGAAAUUUUGCGGCUCAACCGUACAAUUGCAUUUGAUACUGGCAGUCUUGAGUACAGUUGAGGUAGGCGGAAUUCUUGGUGUAGCGGUGAAAUGCUUCGAUAUCACGCAGAACUCCGAUUGCGACGGCAGCUUACUAAACUGCCCCUGACAUUGAUGCUCG
Molecule: ribosomal RNA, 420 nt
Filed under: uncultured bacterium
Lineage: Bacteria
Description: partial 16S ribosomal RNA
Rfam family: Bacterial small subunit ribosomal RNA
Source: RNAcentral